UACGUAGGGCGCAAGCGUUGUCCGGAAUUAUUGGGCGUAAAGAGCUCGUAGGCGGUUUGUCGCGUCUGCUGUGAAAACCUAAGGCUCAACCUUGGGCUUGCAGUGGGUACGGGCGGACUAGAGUGCGGUAGGGGUGACUGGAAUUCCUGGUGUAGCGGUGGAAUGCGCAGAUAUCAGGAGGAACACCGAUGGCGAAGGCAGGUCACUGGGCCGCAACUGACGCUGAGGAGCGAAAGCGUGGGGAGCGAACAGG
This 253-nucleotide ribosomal RNA is filed under the name uncultured bacterium. Its description in RNAcentral is "partial 16S ribosomal RNA". It matches the Rfam family "Bacterial small subunit ribosomal RNA", at positions 524 to 776 of the family's 1533-position model. The record is from RNAcentral.